CAAGUUGAGGUUGGACUAAGACCUGAAAAAUACUCUGGUUCUCCACUAUCCCUCUGAAUGACCUUUCGCAAAUCUGACCUCAGUGCAUCUGUUCAGCAGAUACAGUAUGUCUCUCCCAGGAGUGAGAGAGCACAACCUCCCUGGAGAUAGUAUAUCAAGGUAUGAACUGGGAAGAUUAUCUACAUGGCCUUGCAUCACUGCCUGGAAUAGAACAGCUCUCUGUUUGAAAGAGUCUUGGCAUGCCAAGUAACAGAACACAAAUCCCUUGUGACAGACUUCAGGAACUUUAUUCACAGC
This is a long non-coding RNA of Strigops habroptila (Kakapo), 297 nucleotides long. RefSeq lists it as uncharacterized. NCBI's taxonomy places the organism in Eukaryota, Metazoa, Chordata, Aves, Psittaciformes, Psittacidae. The record is from RefSeq and is a predicted model, not a curated record. The transcript is spliced from 3 exons.